GUUUGAUCCUGGCUCAGGAUGAACGCUGGCGGCGUGCCUAACACAUGCAAGUCGAACGCGAAAGGGGGCAACCCCCGGUAGCGUGGCAGACGGGUGAGUAACACGUGGGUAACCUACCCGGAGGUGGGGGAUAACCCUUCGAAAGGAGGGCUAAUACCGCAUGACACCGUGGGGACCUCGGUCCUUGCGAUCAAAGCUGGCCUCUGUUUACAAGCUAGCGCCACCGGAUGGGCCCGCGCCCCAUUAGCUAGUUGGUGAGGUAACGGCUCACCAAGGCGACGAUGGGUAGCCGGCCUGAGAGGGCGAUCGGCCACACUGGAACUGCGACACGGUCCAGACUCCUACGGGAGGCAGCAGUGAGGAAUAUUGCGCAAUGGGCGAAAGCCUGACGCAGCGACGCCGCGUGGAGGAUGAAGGUCUUCGGAUUGUAAACUCCUGUCGAGUGGGACGAAUGCCGUGGAGGUUAAUAGCCUUCGCGGUUGACGGUACCGCUGGAGGAAGCCCCGGCUAACUCCGUGCCAGCAGCCGCGGUAAUACGGAGGGGGCUAGCGUUGUUCGGAAUCAUUGGGCGUAAAGGGCGCGUAGGCGGCCGAUCAAGUCGGAGGUGAAAUCCCUCGGCUCAACUGAGGAAUUGCCUUCGAUACUGUUCGGCUUGAGUCCUGGAGAGGGUAGCGGAAUUCCCGGUGUAGCGGUGAAAUGCGUAGAGACCGGGAAGAACACCAGUGGCGAAGGCGGCUACCUGGACAGGUACUGACGCUGAAGCGCGAAAGCUAGGGGAGCAAACAGGAUUAGAUACCCUGGUAGUCCUAGCUGUAAACGAUGGGCACUUGGUGUUGCGGGUAUCGACCUCUGCAGUGCCGAAGCUAACGCAUUAAGUGCC
This 880-nucleotide ribosomal RNA is filed under the name uncultured bacterium. Its description in RNAcentral is "bacterial SSU rRNA". It matches the Rfam family "Bacterial small subunit ribosomal RNA", at positions 11 to 868 of the family's 1533-position model. The record is from RNAcentral.